Non-coding RNA from Monodelphis domestica (gray short-tailed opossum), 2692 nucleotides. The record is from RefSeq and is a predicted model, not a curated record. Lineage: Eukaryota; Metazoa; Chordata; Mammalia; Didelphimorphia; Didelphidae.
AGCAGAAGGAGAAGGAUGAAGGAACUGAAGGAAAGGUGCAUUCCGGGAAUGCGGUGUAGAAGAAAAAGAGGAGCCUGUCAGGACCUGGACAGAGAACAAUUGACGAUCUGCACUUCUCUAACAAUGAGAGGGAGGAAAGUAAAAGUCAGGAAGACUGAUCUGUGUAUCAGGCAAAUAUGUGCAGUGUUUCAUGCCAGUGGACCUCUCACCUCGUCGACAAGGGAGGACAUACAAAGGCAGCUCAUGGCUAUGAGACUGCGAAUGAAGACUAAAGUCUUUUUGGUGGGAGGCAGACACUCUGAGAACAUCGCUGCCAACACCAGCCUUGCUUUCAGAGGCAAAGACAAGACAAAACAGACAAGACAAGACAAGACAACCUGGGCUAGAUACUGCCUCACGACAACAUAGGGAAACCAUCUCUUUACAUUCAGGACACUUAGAUAACCCGCUGGGGGUGAACAUGCAAUCUAUGAACAUCAUAAGUUUCCUUUAUGAAAAAACAUUGCCUCCCACUUCAAAGACGAAACAUUUGGGACUGGCAACAGUCUCUGAGAACAUUCCAGUUAUUAUAGUCUGUUCUGGGGAGCGCUUCUAGACUCAGAGCACUCUGUGGAUGAGAUCCUUGUGGCUGGAGACAAUGCUCUGGAAACAAUGCUUUGCUAGAUUAUCCACGAGAAAAAAAUUUCAAUACUCUGACUUUCAGCCAACAAGACUUCAACACAGGAGACAAGAGUCUCUGAAAACAUUCCAGUUGCAAGCCUCUCUCUGUGGAUACACUGAGUCUCCAAGCGCUUUGAGGACAAGACUGGGACUGGAGACACUCUCUCUGGGAACACUGCGCUUACUUACUACCUGCUUUCUCUCUGGGGAAACACAUCGAGUCUCAGAAGGCAUCGAGGAAAAGACAAGGGUUGAAGUCGCUUUCUGAAAACUUUGUAUUUACAAUAGGCUGGCUGUACAUGCAGCUAGUCUGACAACGCUCGGUGAAUGAGCUACUUACAGUUGGAGAUACACACUCUGACAACAUGCAAAAUCGAGACUCAAGAGAAGCAACCAAAGCACAGAGGAAGAGCUCCACACAUCAGGUACUGGACAGGCUCUGGACUUUUGACAGCCUGGCUCCAUCUAUGGGAACGGAGAGAGACAGAGAUCUUAACCCUUUGUCCCCAUGCGAUACGUGAAAGGGGCUUCGGAGCCCUUGAAACACCUGUUGAUCUGCACAGCAUCUAGAAAGACGGCGUGGGGCCCGAACAGGGCCAGGGGCGGGGCUUCAAGGGCUGGAUCACCUGGGUGCUCAGGUUGAGGCAAACCACGUGGUCAAAGGCUCUCUACCCCAGACCGGAAGCUGUGGAGGAGGUGACAGGAAGUCCAAAGUGAGCUCCGUGUGUCGUUGAGGACAGGAGGAGGUCGUGACAGACCCUUUUCUUGAGAUUGUUGCAAAGCCUGGGGACUUUGUAACACCAGGAGUAUUGAUCAAAUAUUUUAGAACUUGCUUGGACCUGUGCUGGGAUACCUUACUACCCGUCUGCAGAGAGCUGACAGCAUAAACCCUUCAACCACGAAACGAAAAAGGAACUUCUUGCUCCAACCCCAUCCCUCGAACUCUGAUUAAGUCUCAGAAAGAAAGAAAGCUCCAACCCAGCUGGGAGGAUCUCUACUUGGUGGUGCUCCAGACCGCUGACCAGCUGAAAAGGGCUGGAUUCAUCCUACCAGAGCACAGGGACCAAUUGACCGGCCUCAGCAGUUUCCCAGUGGACUGACUAUUCAACCAACAACUAUCCCCCAUGGCUGAAGUUCAAGGAGAAAUAAGAGAACAAGGGGAUUCUGAGUGGCCAGUAUUGGGCUGGGAUCCUGGUCCCGAUGAUCAGCCUCAUUGGACACCAGAGAAAAGGUUUGACCAACUGUGUCUCCCCCUAUUAGACAACUGGACAACCGGUCCAGGCCUGGUCUUGACCUGGGAGGCGAACGUGUGUUCAGAUUCUGAGAUAAUGGUUUACCAGGGCCUGUUCCCCCUACGCCGCCCCAGCGACAGGGAACUGGUCACUUUUUGGGCUCUGACUUUUAAGUCUAGACAGGGAGAAGGCCAGUGUUAUUUUCUGAGACAGAGAGGCAACCGGGAUAUUGAGGUGUUUGAAUUAAUAGGUCAAACCGCUCAGCCCAAGCUGGAGAAGACCACGGGAGGCUGGCCCAACCAGGUGAUCCAAGAUCCCCCUGAGUUAGCGAGCUUCCAUUACCAAAGGUGCCGGGCAUGUAGACUCCGCACCUCCCGUGGCAGAGCCCAGCUCCCCUAAACCAAGUGCGGGGGAGCGGGAAUAAGCGCCCUCCUGCCAGACCAGGGUCAGGCCCACAGCGCAACCCCUCGAGAGCCCCCACCUAAGUGAACAUCGCCCUUAGCUCCCAAAUGAUGCCCCACGCCCAGGGGAAGUCCGAAAUGGGCUCCUUCCUACUGAGAGCCCGGCCACAGUGGAAGCAGGCUGUGGUGUAGGGCACUAGGACCAAAGGGGGGGUGGAUGUGACCUAGGAGCUGAGCUGAGACGGGGUGUACAGGGGGGGCAUGACAAGGGGAAGCUGACUGCCUGUGGGGGCCUUGGGAAGUUGUGCACCUCCUAGUGCCAGCCAGUGGGAAAAGGAGGGAAUGCAAAGUUGCUUGUGCCCUGUUGUAAUAAACUGCCUUGCUGUUUGACUGUGGAAA